This 433-nucleotide ribosomal RNA is filed under the name uncultured bacterium. RNAcentral's name for it is "partial 16S ribosomal RNA". It matches the Rfam family "Bacterial small subunit ribosomal RNA", at positions 29 to 507 of the family's 1533-position model. The record is from RNAcentral.
AACGAACGCUGGCGGCAUGCCUAACACAUGCAAGUCGAACGAGACCUUCGGGUCUAGUGGCGCACGGGUGCGUAACGCGUGGGAACCUGCCCUUAGGUUCGGAAUAACUCCCCGAAAGGGGUGCUAAUACCGGAUAAUUUCUUCGGACCAAAGAUUUAUCGCCUUUGGAUGGGCCCGCGUUGGAUUAGCUAGUUGGUAGGGUAAAAGCCUACCAAGGCGACGAUCCAUAGCUGGUCUGAGAGGAUGAUCAGCCACACUGGGACUGAGACACGGCCCAGACUACUACGGGAGGCAGCAGUGGGGAAUAUUGGACUAUGGGCGAAAGCCUGAUCCAGCAAUGCCGCGUGAGUGAUGAAGGCCUUAGGGUUGUAAAGCUCUUUUACCCGGGAUGAUAAUGACAGUACCGGGAGAAUAAGCUCCGGCUAACUCCGUG